GGGAGGCGUGGAGCGCCCGGCCUGCAGGCACUGGGCGGCGCCCUCCCGCCUCCUCUUCUCCCGCCGGGUGCCUGGUGGCUUGGCCUCCCCUCCAGAGCUUCGCAUAUCCUGGCGGGAGCCGGCGCUCUCUCCAUACUUAGGACUUGACCCUUCUUCCACACCCGGGCAGGGAAUCAUUUGCCCAAUCCGAAUUUGAUUUUCUGCUUGUGAGAGGAGAAACCGUUGACAGUGUCGCAUGGACAGUGUCGGGGAAGCCGAGACGUAGACCUGGAAGCCUAUACCAGAGGCCUUGUGGACAGCUUUGGAGCAUGCAUCUUAAGGCACACCACCGGUUUCUGCUGCUUUGGCACAGCCACGCAGCAUCUAGGAUGCUUCUCUGCACGCAGCAGAGGCCUAAUCCGUGCACCCUCUGACAGUGUUGGAGGGAGCUGGGGAGCAGCAUCAGAUUAACAGCCCCUGGGCUAUUUGUAUGACGUGCAGAUUUCACCCUCUCAUUCUUAAAGGGUGAAAGGCUCCAAUUCAGAAAGGCGAAGAUGGGGCCCAGGAAUCUGCAGUCUGCGUAGGUUUUUGUUUUUUGUUUUUUGUUUUUUUUUGAUGGAGUCUUGCUCUGUCACUCAGGUUGGGGUGCAGUGGCGCGAUCUAUGCUCACCGCAACCUCUGUCUUCCAGGUUCAAGCGAUUGUCCUGCCUCAGCCUUCCGAGUAGUUGGGACUACAGGUGCACGACACCACACCUGGCUAAUUUUUGUAUUUGUAGUAGAGACGGGGUUUCACCAUGUUGGCCAGGCUGGUCUUGAACUCCUGACAUCAAGUGAUACGCCCACCUUGGCCUCCCAACGUGCUGGGAUUACAGGCACGAGCCACCGCGCCUGGCCAGAGUUUGCAUUUUGUUGUUGUUGUUGUUUGUUUGUUUGAGACGGAGUCUCGCUCUGUGGCCCAGGCUGGAGUGCAGUGGCGCCGUCUCGGCUCACUGCAACCUCUGCUUCCCAGGUUCGAGAGAUUCUCCUGCCUCAAUCUCCCAAGUAGCGGGGAUUAACAGGCGUGCACCACCAUGCCUGGCUAAUUUUUUUAUUCUUAGUAGAGACAGGGUUUCUCAUGUUGGGCAGGCUGGUCUCAAGCUCCUGAUCUGCCCGCCUUGGCCUCCCAGAGUGCUGGGAUUACAGGUGUGAGCCACCGCGCCUGGCCUGUUUUGUUUUCUUAAAUCCAGAAGUUCUGAUUCAAGCCUAAACCUGCCACUUCCAUUCCCAAUCCUCUGAGCUUCAUGAGCUCCAGACACAGGGCUGUUAAUCACAAUUUCUUUAAUUCUUUAUAUCUCUUGUGGAAUUAGAGGGGUAGAUGUUCUUUUUGGGAAAAACAUUAGAAAAUGCCUACAUGUCUUUAUUGAAAGAACUUAAAAACAACGUAUUUCUCUAGGGUUUAUUUUCCCUCACGGCUCUCAACCUUCUUAAAAAUAUAAGGUUGGUGGAUUAAUUAUACUGAAAGUCUUCAGUUGGAUAUUUUAUUAUUGUAUUUUUAAAGUCGUGUUUUGUAAUUGCCCUGACAAUGUAAGGAAUGAUAUUUGUGAGGGUGAGUCAACAACACCUUCCCUGUUGGUGUCUGCCCUCUAAUAACCCCACGGGCUGGAUCCCCAGCACCUGGAAGGAGGCAUCAUGGAACGUUAAUAAGGAGGAAGGCUGGUGCUGGCGCCUGGAACACUUCAGAGACAGAAAGCAGUGACUAGGCCAGACAGGCCCGUUGUUUUUGCGCUUUGAGAGAGAAGUGAGAAAUGGAAAAUAGUCUCUUUAUCUUCUCAGCAAAUACAGCCUAUGCUCAGAAUUUCUCCGACUUCCUAUCUCUGAGAUGCCAGAUGCCCAGUUCCAUGGAAUUAUGGCAAGCGAGAAACUGUCAUUCAUAAGAGUUCAAGAAAAUGAAUGUUCUCUCAACUCUGUGACGGCCAGUGGGUUCCAGGCGAGAUGAGACAACUUGGUGAGGGCCGUAACUGAGCUCCCAAUGCAUUUAGAAGCCUCUGGAUGGCUGGGGGGUGCAUUCCAGCCGUGCUGGAAAAAUUAUAUUUUGAAGUUAAAUCUGGUAGUGUUUUUUCCAAUAUUGAAUAGGCCUCAGGAAAGAGAUAAUACAUUUCCUUCUUUGUUCAGAGGGUGCUCAACUUGCUGGAGUCAUCUCUGCUAUGGCUUUAUUUGCCAACAACAGAGAACUUGCUCUGCAGCAGCCCCAGGCUCUCUGGGGACCCCACAGGCUGUGCAGAUCCCCCAUCCCAGAACCACAGAAGGAGACGGAGCAGAAGCACACCCUGUCUUCCAGGCCCAGGACAGCUGCUGAGCUCCAGGACACGGACUCUUGAAGGUUGAUUUUAACUACCUACUAAGCUCCACCUGAACCAGUUCCACUUCUUUAACCUUCUUGUGAUCCCUGUGAGGGGUCUGUGGUAUUGCUAUUUGCAAGUAAAGAAAGUGAGAUUGAGGGAGGCUGAAAGACUUGGCCCCAAGUCACAAUGCGCCGCUGAAUGUGGUGCUGCCUACUGGAUAUCCUGGGUGCUUCAACAUCAACAGCUCUUGGCAAGUGAGUACACCAUGAAGGAUGGACGAGGGACACGGGGGAGCAAGCCCAGCUGCACGGUUCCGGCUCUUUCCGCCACAUCACAGCUUCUGCAGUUGGGAAGCCAGAACAGUGAUCUUCAGUUUGUUCAUCAAAGGGCCAAGAAAUCUGUGUCCUCACCUUCUCUGCUUCAAUUCUGGUGCUGCUUAAGCCGAUUAUCAUUUCAUGCCCUAAACCAAAAAAUAAACUCUACAAACAUCAACAUUACAUAGGACAGGAUCUGGCCCACAGAUUGGGGGCAGGAGCUGCUUUUUCAAUGAGAAGAAUGAACAGACCUAGUAGGCAUUGCCUUUAUACCCAGGAUGUAAAAGGUAAUGCCAGCAGACGGUGGCAGUGCUGGAGGCGCCUGGUGGGCAGAGGUUACCUGGCUGGAGUGGCAAGCGUGAGGAGAUGCCUCCCAGCAUAAGGAAUGUGGGCUUCUGUUGGAUCUCUUGUUCCAGGCCCCACACAUGUUCGAGGCAGCCUGGGUAUGUCUUGGCCUGCUCAAUCCCUCAAAGCCCUGUUUAAUUCUCAUCUUGCUGUCACCUAUGUAGUGCCAAGAAACAAGUCACCAAAAUAAUGAAAUGCUGACCUAAGCUUAAAAACAAAACCAUGAGGUCUUUCUAAAUAAAUUAUGAAAAAGCGCAAACUGCAGCUCCCUGUAAUGAUUUCAAAGACUCCGUUCCAAGAAUGCAUUAAUUUAAAAAGGGAGUAUAAGGCAAAGGGGGGUGAUUAGAAGAGGAAGGCAGCUGACAUCAAACUGAAUAUACCAAGUUUCCUCCUCAAAAACAAGUGUGCAUUAUUUGUGGUGACCAUUCUUGGUAUUGUUCUAUUGCUGUAAAACACAGCAUAGCAUCAUUCUUUUAGAUGCCAUUCAUUUCAUAUAUGGGUAAAUGUACAUGGUUAGGCUAGACUGGAGUGCUUGUCUACACUGCUUAAAAGAAAAGAUUUACUAAGAAAAUUCGAAGGACAAACAAGAGUGCAAAGGGAAUGUUAGGUUUAAUUAAGAAAUCAGCUCUUUAAAGGGCUUAACCAGAAUAAUUGUUGGUAUGCAAGUGGGGUUGUGAAUUAUAAAUGAAUCAUCCGUUCUUUGAAGGAUGAUCUCUUCUUGGAAAGACUUGGGGAGCAUUUUAAGUUGUUGAAGGCCAGGUGUGGUGGCUCAUGCCUGUAAUCGCAGCACUUUGGGAGGCCAAGGUGGGUGGAUCACCUGAGGUCAGGAGUUCGAGACCAGCCUGACCGACGUGGUGAAACCCCAUCUCUACUAAAAAUACAAAAAUUAGCUGGACGUGGUGGCAUGUGCCUGUAAUCCCAGCUGCUUAGGAGGCUGAGGCAGGAGAAUCACUUGAACCUGGGAGGCAGAGGUUGCAGUGAGCCAAGAUCGUGCCAUUGCCCUCCAGCCUAGGUGGCAGAUAAUAAUAAUCUGAGUCGUUUUAAGCCGGUAACAUUUGUUAGGUGUUUAUUACAUGCUAGUUCCUCAGUUCCAAGUAUUUAGUCUUCACAACAGGCCUAUGAUUAUGACCAUUUUAUAGAGGAGGAAAAUGAAGGCCUCUAAGUAUCUUGCCUGAAUUACCUAGCUAAAUGCUAGGAAAGCAAAGACAGGUACAACAGGCUGUCUGCCUUUAAGAAGUUUACUACCUUGUAUUUUUUAAUGUAAAUUCUCUAAUAAGUUCAGGCCAGCUUCCUCUUCCAGCUCAUGUGAAUUUGGUGAAUUUCAAUAAAAUAAAACAAUAUGAAAAACAUUUCUAUGCAAUUAACUGUUAAUUAUUAUUAAUUAUAAUAGGAAUGAGGGGGAAAGCUGUCUUAUAGAAUAUUGAGUCCGCACUUGAGAGUCAAUUGCCUGAAGAACAUUCUUAUUUCCAGUUUGUAGCAUGGUCUUUUUACGCCUGAACAAUGACAAAAAGAGUGAUGAUUUUGUAACAAAACCUCAGGGACGCUAUUAACAAGUUGGCAUUUCUAAUUCGUGUGGAAAUGCUAUUUUAUUUAUCAGAGAAUUGUAGCAGUGGUGUUCAUUUAAUUAAGAAUCUGAUGUUGCGUAAGGGCAAUUGAGUGAAAUUUAUAAUAUCGUAGACAGACAUGUAUGCAAACACAAAAGAAAACUGGUUAAGGAUCUAAGUGCCAGCUUAUUUUCCCUUGAACAGCCCAUUUUUACAUGAUUUGUGAGCUGUUUCAUAAAGGAAUCAUGCAAGUAUAUUUUAUCCUUUUAAAGAUAUUUUACAGUAAACUCAUCUAACUAGUAAUUGUACAAGGCUCAUAAAUAGUCAAAAAGAAAAGUGCCUGUAACUUUUGACAAUAUUGAAGGUGACUAUCUCUGUAUUAGAAGGCAGUUUAGGAUCUAGUAGCUUUCCCAACUGCAAGUAAAGUAAUGGCAUAUUCUAAAUUAUAUGAACAACAUCAUAAAACCAAAAAGGUAAAGAAAAUAGGUUUGAAUGAGAAAGUAUUCUGAGAAAGGUGGAGAAUGGGUGUCAGAUAUGGAUUGGAAGGAGACAAGAGAUUGGAAAGGUGACAGAAGAGAGCCCCCACUACUAUUGGUGGCUACUGCCUGCACCUUCACCAGGAAGUGUUGCUCACCUGUCCAAGCCACAAAUUCUGGUCAUCUUGUAGAUCCAAGUGCCUCCAGGUGAAUGUGCCACUUCCAAGGCCCAGCCUUCCUAAGCCACCUCACCUCAAGGUCUGGAUACAUUUGUUCACAGUAUGCACUUUUUGAGUGCUAAUUAUGUGCCAGGCACUGGGCCGGGUCCUGGGGACACACCCAGGAACAAGGAGAGCAGGUACCUGGCCUCUUGGAGCUGACACUCUAGUCAGAGGAGACAGUCUGGAAACACAUAAAUAAAUAAUUGCAAGAGUUGCAGAUGGCAAUUUGCGCUGAGAAAAUAAAGCAAGGUAAAGAGAUUAAGUGUGAGAGAAGAAAAGGGGCUGUUUAAAGAGGUGGUUAGGGAAGGCCUCUCUGAGGUCAGGACAUCUGAGCAGGGAAGGAGCCAGCGAUGGGAAGCACCAGGGGCGGGGGGAGGACACUCCAGACAGAGCAAGUACAAAGGCCCUGGGGCAGGAAGGACCCUGAUGUGCUGGAUGAGGAGCAAGAGGGUGCCAAUAUCGCUGAGCUGGAGAAGAGGAAGAAAAGUGGGAGAGGAAGAUGAAGAAGUCACAGAGGUCAGGCCAUGUGGGCCUUUUAGGCAGGGCCAAAUGCUUGGAUUCUCUUCCAAGGAGAAUGGGAAGUCGUUGGAAGAUCUUAAGUAGGGACAUGAUAAGACUGAUUUAUACUUUCCAAUUAUUACUCUGACUCUCUCUGGGGACCAGAUUAUAGGAAGAUGAUAAUAAGGUGAGUGAAAAGAGUGACCAGUUGUGGCAUCCGCCUCCUUCCACAGAGGUGAGUACAGGCUGAAGUCUUGUCCUUAAGAUGCUUCUGUGGAAGUUACAGGGAGCUGACCCUGGCCUUGGAACUAACUGUGGUGGGAUCAGAGAGGGGGGAAGCAGAGAUGGUGCAAGCUUUGGCCCAAAGAUCAGAAGCAGAAAGGACUCUGUGCCUCUGGCAAAAGGACAACUCCAUGUUUUCUGUGCAAACAUCCAAGUUACCAUUUCCCCAGGUGACACUGCAGCUGUGGGGCCUGUGAACAGGACAACAGCUAACCAUUCUGAAUUAAAAAAAUCAAGGACAGUACCCUCAUGUUUAUAAUAUAGGGGUCAAAGCAAAAUCCAUUGACAAGCAUUUCCUUUAAAAUACAGGGAAGGAAGAUUCCAUUGUCUACAAAUUCUAAUGGAAAUUAAUAAA
Molecule: long non-coding RNA, 6335 nt
Organism: Pongo pygmaeus (Bornean orangutan)
Lineage: Eukaryota; Metazoa; Chordata; Mammalia; Primates; Hominidae
Exons: 3
Source: RefSeq, a predicted model, not a curated record